RNAcentral lists this transfer RNA (94 nucleotides) under Nephromyces sp. ex Molgula occidentalis. RNAcentral's name for it is "tRNA-Ser". It matches the Rfam family "tRNA". From Rfam's summary of the family: Transfer RNA (tRNA) molecules are approximately 80 nucleotides in length. Their secondary structure includes four short double-helical elements and three loops (D, anti-codon, and T loops). Lineage: Eukaryota; Apicomplexa; Aconoidasida; Nephromycida. The record is from RNAcentral.
AGAAAGAUGGCUGAGUGGUUUAUAGCGAUAAAUUGCUAAUUUAUUUAACAAAAAAUCAUUAAUUGUUACAAGGGUUCAAAUCCCUUUCUUUCUA